Molecule: ribosomal RNA, 492 nt
Filed under: Mantidactylus jonasi
Lineage: Eukaryota; Metazoa; Chordata; Amphibia; Anura; Mantellidae
Description: partial large subunit ribosomal RNA
Rfam family: Bacterial large subunit ribosomal RNA
Source: RNAcentral
AUCCUAACCGUGCAAAGGUAGCAUAAUCACUUGUUCUUUAAAUGGGGACUUGUAUCAACGGCAUCACGAGGGUUAUACUGUCUCCUUUUUCCAAUCAGUGAAACUAAUCCCCCCGUGAAGAAGCGGGGAUACCCCUAUAAGACGAGAAGACCCCAUGGAGCUUCAAACUCAACUACACCCCUAACCCCCAUAACUACUGAACUCUGAGGGCCCUGUAUCGUUGGUUUUAGGUUGGGGCGACCACGGAGAACAACAAAUCCUCCACAAUGAACGGGACUACCCCCUCAUCUAAGAGCUACACCUCUAAGAAUUAAAAUAUUAACAUAAAGUGAUCCAUUUUUUGAUCAAUGAACCAAGUUACCCUGGGGAUAACAGCGCAAUCCAUUUCAAGAGCCCUUAUCGACAAAUGGGUUUACGACCUCGAUGUUGGAUCAGGGUAUCCUAGUGGUGCAGCAGCUACUGACGGUUCGUUUGUUCAACGAUCAAAACCCU